AUUUUUUGGGUGGUUUCAUUUUUUUCGUUUUUCUCUUUUUUAGUUUUUGCAGGCGUUGUAAAAAAAAAAAGAA
This 73-nucleotide non-coding RNA is filed under the name Lotharella globosa. The record is from RNAcentral. Lineage: Eukaryota; Cercozoa; Chlorarachniophyceae.